This 497-nucleotide ribosomal RNA is filed under the name uncultured bacterium. RNAcentral describes it as "partial 16S ribosomal RNA". It matches the Rfam family "Bacterial small subunit ribosomal RNA", at positions 28 to 507 of the family's 1533-position model. The record is from RNAcentral.
GAUGAACGCUGGCGGCGUGCCUAAUACAUGCAAGUCGAGCGAACGGACGAGAAGCUUGCUUCUCUGAUGUUAGCGGCGGACGGGUGAGUAACACGUGGAUAACCUACCUAUAAGACUGGGAUAACUUCGGGAAACCGGAGCUAAUACCGGAUGAUAUUUUGAACCGCAUGGUUCAAAAGUGAAAGACGGUCUUGCUGUCACUUAUAGAUGAAUCCGCGGUGCAUUAGCUAGUUGGUAAGGUAACGGCCUACCAAGGCAACGAUGCAUAGCCGACCUGAGAGGGUGAUCGGCCACACUGGAACUGAGACACGGUCCAGACUCCUACGGGAGGCAGCAGUAGGGAAUCUUCCGCAAUGGGCGAAAGCCUGACGGAGCAACGCCGCGUGAGUGAUGAAGGUCUUCGGAUCGUAAAACUCUGUUAUUAGGGAAGAACAUAUGUGUAAGUAACUGUGCACAUCUUGACGGUACCUAAUCAGAAAGCAACGGCUAACUACGUG